This 253-nucleotide ribosomal RNA is filed under the name uncultured bacterium. RNAcentral's name for it is "partial 16S ribosomal RNA". It matches the Rfam family "Bacterial small subunit ribosomal RNA", at positions 524 to 776 of the family's 1533-position model. The record is from RNAcentral.
UACGGAGGGUGCAAGCGUUAUCCGGAUUUACUGGGUUUAAAGGGUGCGUAGGCGGGCAUGUAAGUCAGGGGUGAAAGACCGGAGCUUAACUUCGGAACUGCCAUUGAUACUAUAUGGCUUGAAUAUUGUGGAGGUAAGCGGAAUAUGUCAUGUAGCGGUGAAAUGCAUAGAUAUGACAUAGAACACCGAUUGCGGAGGCAGCUUGCUACGCAAAUACUGACGCUGAGGCACGAAAGCGUGGGGAGCAAACAGG